RNAcentral lists this ribosomal RNA (445 nucleotides) under uncultured bacterium. Its description in RNAcentral is "partial 16S ribosomal RNA". It matches the Rfam family "Bacterial small subunit ribosomal RNA", at positions 354 to 796 of the family's 1533-position model. The record is from RNAcentral.
GUAGGGAAUAUUGGACAAUGGGCGAAAGCCUGAUCCAGCCAUGCCGCGUGAUAGAUGAAGGCCCUCUGGGUUGUAAAUAUCUUUUAUCUGGGAAGAAACUCCUCUAUUCUUAGAGGCCUGACGGUACCAGAGGAAUAAGCACCGGCUAACUCCGUGCCAGCAGCCGCGGUAAUACGGAGGGUGCAAGCGUUAUCCGGAUUCACUGGGUUUAAAGGGUGCAUAGGCGGGUUGAUAAGUCAGUGGUGAAAGCUCCGGGCUUAACUUGGAAACUGCCAUUGAUACUGUCAGUCUUGAAUGUCGUAGAGGUAAGCGGAAUGUUGCAUGUAGCGGUGAAAUGCUUAGAUAUGUUACAGAACACCAAUUGCGAAGGCAGCUUACUAUGCGAUAAUUGACGCUGAGGCACGAAAGCGUGGGGAGCAAACAGGAUUAGAAACCCGUGUAGUCC